This 503-nucleotide small RNA is filed under the name Pan troglodytes (chimpanzee). RNAcentral describes it as "processed transcript". The record is from RNAcentral. Lineage: Eukaryota; Metazoa; Chordata; Mammalia; Primates; Hominidae.
CUGUGCUGUCCCCGAUGGCCUCUGCCAUCCCCUGGGAGUUCUUACCCCUGGACGCGCGGUGCCUGUCCGGUCUCAACCUCUCCAGCUCUGCUUUUCCAUCUCUGAGCCUUGAAAAGAUCUUUUGAGGUCGAGGAGGUCGAGACACCCAACUCCACCCCACCCCGGAGGGUCCAGACUCCCCUACUCCGAGCCACUGUGGCCAGCUCCACCCAGAAAUUCCAGGACCUGGGCGUGAAGAACUCAGAGCCCUCGGCCCGCCAUGUGGACUCCCUAAGCCAGCGCUCCCCCAAGGCGUCCCUGCGGAGGGUGGAGCUCUCGGGCCCCAAGGUGGCCGAGCCCGUGUCCCGGCGCACUGAGCUGUCCAUUGACAUCUCGUCUAAGCAGGUGGAGAACGCCGGGGCCGUCGGCCCGUCCCGGUUCGGGCUCAAGAGGGCCGAGGUGUUGGGCCACAAGACGCCAGAACCGGCCCCUCGGAGGACGGAGAUCACCAUCGUCAAACCCCA